RNAcentral lists this ribosomal RNA (518 nucleotides) under Cophyla mavomavo (yellowish tree cophyline frog). RNAcentral's name for it is "partial large subunit ribosomal RNA". It matches the Rfam family "Bacterial large subunit ribosomal RNA", at positions 1862 to 2597 of the family's 2925-position model. The record is from RNAcentral. Lineage: Eukaryota; Metazoa; Chordata; Amphibia; Anura; Microhylidae.
CCCAGUGACCCAAAGUUAAACGGCCGCGGUACCCUAACCGUGCGAAGGUAGCACAAUCACUUGUUCUUUAAAUUAGGACCAGUAUGAACGGCCACACGAGAGCUAUACUGUCUCCCCUCUUCAAUCAGUGAAACUGAUCUCCUCGUGAAGAAGCGAGGAUAACCAUAUAAGACGAGAAGACCCCAUGGAGCUUUAAACUUGUACCGCUGCCUUAAACCAUACCAGUUAACUUAGGCAAGAGACGGCUACGAGUCUUUCGGCUGGGGCGACCACGGAGAAAAACCAAACCUCCCUGUUGAAAGGGACAACCCUAAUCAAAGAGCUACUGCUCAAAGAAUCAACAAACUGACAUAAUUGACCCAAUUUUUGAUCAACGAACCAAGUUACCCUGGGGAUAACAGCGCAAUCCAUUUUAAGAGACCCCAUCGACAAAUGGGCUUACGACCUCGAUGUUGGAUCAGGGUAUCCUAGUGGUGCAGCCGCUACUAAAGGUUCGUUUGUUCAACGAUUAAAACCCU